CAGGUGGUGCAUGGUUGUCGUCAGCUCGUGUCGUGAGAUGUUGGGUUAAGUCCCGCAACGAGCGCAACCCUCGACCUUAGUUGCCAGCAUUCAGUUGGGCACUCUAAGGUGACUGCCGGCUAAAAGUCGGAGGAAGGUGGGGAUGACGUCAAAUCAUCAUGCCCCUUAUGACCUGGGCUACACACGUGCUACAAUGGGCGGUACAAAGGGUCGCGAACCCGCGAGGGGGAGCCAAUCCCAAAAAGCCGCUCUCAGUUCGGAUUGCAGGCUGCAACUCGCCUGCAUGAAGCCGGAAUCGCUAGUAAUCGCGGAUCAGCAUGCCGCGGUGAAUACGUUCCCGGGCCUU
Molecule: ribosomal RNA, 346 nt
Filed under: uncultured Anoxybacillus sp.
Lineage: Bacteria; Bacillati; Bacillota; Bacilli; Caryophanales; Anoxybacillaceae
Description: bacterial SSU rRNA
Rfam family: Bacterial small subunit ribosomal RNA
Source: RNAcentral